ACCAUUCCCCCUUACCUGAUCUUGUCUAAGGUUGCUCGUACCCCGGCCAGUACCACGAGGAGGUACACUGAGAAAACUGAAGUUAUGUUAUUCAUAAUACCUUUCGUAUGAUACAGUAUUUUGCUAGCUGAAAAACAUUUCAUACGACGCGUAUGAUUUUCAUAACUCGCUUAUGAAGAACAUACGAAUUAGAUUCAAUAUUCAUACGCGGCCCUAUAAUAUUUCAUACGAUGUGCUUAUGAAAUCCAAAGCAAGCCUUGUUUGAUAAAUAUCAUACGAUUGUCUUAACGGAACAAAUAGGGGUUUGAACAAAUGAAGCCCGCGAGUUUUUAAGUUCUGGCGAAUACGAUGGCUGUUUUUAAAGGUAAAUAGCAAGAGAAUAAUAUUAAAAUGUAUUUAUAAUAAUCGAUAAUUCUAUGUAAAGUGACGCAAAUAUGGAGGCUUGGGCAAACGAUAAAAUUUGCUAAACUUUGUCUCGUGCAAUGGCAACAGAAUGGAAAUACGAAGUUAUUUGAGCGUGGCAUCAAAAACAAUCUGUCCAACUUAUCAAUAGUGACGAAGAAGGUUCCGUGAGUGAUGCUAAGCUUUUUCCCAGUUCUAAGAACGGCGUUAUUAGAUUCGAUGACAGUUGCAACGGGGAGAUAAAUUAUUGAUUUGUAAUUCACAAACAAUGAUAAAAUGUAUGGUUUCUGAUAAAUGUUUAUUUUUGUAUUUUUGUUUCAAA
Aedes aegypti (yellow fever mosquito) is the source of this 724-nucleotide long non-coding RNA. RefSeq lists it as uncharacterized. Lineage: Eukaryota; Metazoa; Arthropoda; Insecta; Diptera; Culicidae. The record is from RefSeq and is a predicted model, not a curated record. The transcript has 2 exons.